AACAAAUGAAUGGAUUUAGGAGUAGUCUAGGAACCACUAUUCUAUGUAAUCAAAAAAAACAAAAACCAUCAAGAUGGCAACUAGUUUUGUAGAUUUCGACGGAUUUUGAAUAUGAUCUUGGUUAAUUGGAACAAUUCUGGCUAGAGAAGAUUCAAAAAUUGAUGGGCUCAACUGCGACGGAUUUUGCUAGGUCUAAUUAGGCAAAGAGGUGGUUCUUAAAGAAGAUAGAGAAGGUUCAUAUUCUGCUCUCUUAUGACAUUUCAGCACUUGCUCACUAAUUUAUCAUGCUACAAAGAGUAACCACCUGUAUAACCAUCGGGAUGAACUUAAAUUUUACUUGACAAUUGACAUACAGACAUGGCACCAGCAGUUAGAGCAUGAUUCUUAUACUUCGCUCGCGAGUUUUCUAAAUAUGUGGUCAAAAUAGUUACCAAUUUGUGCAGAGCUUGUAGUUUUACUCGAUUCACUAACUCACCCAUGUAAUAUUAUUUGUGAAGGUGUUGUGCAAAGGAUUAAAAAGAAAAACAGUUGCAGAACUAAAAGUUUUUUAGGAUAAAGUUUUAGCAGUAAUGGAGAUACGACAUCAAGUUGAAUGCCAAGAAAUCUCUGUGUGUUGUCAGUCUGUAACUGAGUCUAUUUUGACACUUCAAUGUCCAUCAGCUUUGAGGAAUAUAAACUUGUUGCCUGACAUAUUAUAGUGGACUUACAUGCUCUGUGAGGCAAAAAA
Molecule: long non-coding RNA, 727 nt
Organism: Papaver somniferum (opium poppy)
Lineage: Eukaryota; Viridiplantae; Streptophyta; Magnoliopsida; Ranunculales; Papaveraceae
Exons: 2
Source: RefSeq, a predicted model, not a curated record